RNAcentral lists this ribosomal RNA (267 nucleotides) under uncultured bacterium. RNAcentral's name for it is "partial 16S ribosomal RNA". It matches the Rfam family "Bacterial small subunit ribosomal RNA", at positions 88 to 354 of the family's 1533-position model. The record is from RNAcentral.
CCGGCGACCGGCGCACGGGUGAGUAACACGUAUGCAACCUGCCGCCACAGGGGGAUAACCCGCGGAAACGCGGCCUAAUACCCCGUGACGCCACCGGAGGGCAUCCUCCGGUGGCCAAAGGAGCGAUCCGGUGGCGGAUGGGCAUGCGGCGCAUUAGCUAGACGGCGGGGUGACGGCCCACCGUGGCGACGAUGCGUAGGGGUUCUGAGAGGAAGGCCCCCCACACUGGGACUGAGACACGGCCCAGACUCCUACGGGAGGCAGCAG